Diceros bicornis minor is the source of this 311-nucleotide long non-coding RNA. RefSeq lists it as uncharacterized. Lineage: Eukaryota; Metazoa; Chordata; Mammalia; Perissodactyla; Rhinocerotidae. The transcript has 3 exons. The record is from RefSeq and is a predicted model, not a curated record.
AAUUGGGUGGCCUUUCCAUCCAACACCCUAGAAAAGGCCUCAAAAGCUUGUUUGCGCUUUUCUUCCCCCCUCAGACACAAAAAGCAUCCGUGGAGCUCAAGUUUGAGGUGAAAGCAGGCUCAGAGUCCACCUGUCCUCGCUGAUCCAUGGAUUUCUGUGUGACCAGGUCCCGGGCUGGACAGAGAGUGACUCUACUGGGAGCCGUGCCAUGAGACCCAGGGCGUCACCCACCUGGGCUCCCUCACCCUGGACGGGGACAGCCUCUACGUCAGUGAUUACACCUAUGGAGCCGCAGCCCCGACUACCACCAG